Molecule: non-coding RNA, 1465 nt
Organism: Cyanistes caeruleus (blue tit)
Lineage: Eukaryota; Metazoa; Chordata; Aves; Passeriformes; Paridae
Source: RefSeq, a predicted model, not a curated record
GGGCAGCGGCGACUCGCGGCGGCGGUGGCGGCGCUGGAAGUUCCCGAGUUCUAGCGUCGCAAGAAUGGGAAGCGAGCGAAGCCAAAAUGCCCCCGGGGAGCGCGGCCCCACUGGGGAAGGCCGGCGCUUCCACACUCCCCGCUCGCCGAGGCUCCCCCCUAGCCCAGCCCGCUCCCUCGGAGCCAGCCAGGGACCUCGGGGCUCGGCCAGGGGCUUUGGCAUCUGCGCAUCAGACAUACGGGACUGACGAAUCUCCUGCCUUCCAGGAGCGAUGGGCAGAGAGGAGGAGUGUUGCCAACGCCAGGACGAGCGAUGGAUGGUGAUGCCUGCAACCUAUGGCUGAACUGGAGGUAAUUCACUAGCGGAUCGAUAACCUACCGAAGGUUCCUGAAAGGCUGCAACAUUGUACGGAGCCCGGUUAGCGGUUAAAUCGUUUCUUUAUUUAAUAUUUGCUAGCUUGAGGAUACUGAAUAAAACGUUCUGGUUUGUGCUCUGUUUCUUUACUGCUUACAGGAAAAAAGAAAAUAAAAACUAAGCAGAUGUCUACUGAUAAUUAGCUUUUUAAAAAAUCCAUAUCUGGUGAAGGAUUUAAAGGAGCAUGAUCGGUUGUCUUUAUGUUUUGCAACGUGUCUGCGCUUUUUCAGGUCGAGUUUGGGCCUUGCAAGAACGAAUGUGUUUGUGCACAAUAAGAAUGAAUUUAGCAGGGAUCAGUGUAAACAGGAGAAGCUGUAAUUUUUUAAUGUUCCUUUAGCCUCAGUUAUUAACUGAUGCAACUUGUGAAGCAAAGACAAAAGUAUAUUUGAAAUUAUAUAGAAACUAGACAAAGAACUAUUUUUUUACUGUACAUAAAACCCCCUGAAAUUCUCAACUAUCUAACUUCCAACAAAAUUAAAUUUGAACAUUUCUGUGCAGCUGGGUAGCAGAGGGUAACAUGAGUUGAGCAUUUUUAUACGUGUUUCCAAUGCCUGCAAGCUCAGUGUAUGAGCUUGAGCUUUGUGCUUGACAUGGUGAGAAAGCUUCGAUGCAAUCACACUUCUGCUUUAUUGAAGAAAUGUUACCCUGAAAGGUUAAAGGAAGGAGGCUAAAAUAUCACUUAUUUCUAUUGUCUUAUUAUAAAAAUUAUUUUUAUAUAGUGGAUGUCUAGAUGCUGUGCAUUUUUUACACACAAUUAUACCAUGUCCUAAAAAAUAAUUAAAAUCCUAAUCUAGAAAUUGUUAUCAUAAGGGUAAAUGUAUUUUGUAGGAGACAUUCUUUUUUUAAAAAAAAAGCAAGACUGUAUGUACUCGAUUUGAUUGCUACAUCUGUAGCAAUAAUCACUAUGUAUUUAAAAAUGUGCAUGUAUCUCCCUUUCCCCAGAUUUGUAACAAUAACCACUCUGAUUCAGCUUCAUUUUAAAUCCACACUUCAAGUAAUUGAAACGGAAAUGAAAGCAUAUUUAAUGUCUAAUAAAGAUUUUAAAAAUAAA